GGCGACGAUGACUGCGGAGAUUUAAGUGACGAGCCGCCCUACUGCGCUCACGUGAGCAAACACCACUGCGCGCCCAACGAAUUCCAGUGCCGAAACCGGAAAUGUAUCACAAACCAAAUAUUAUAAUCCGGUGCUAUCGCGCAUUUCCCUGAUGGCGAAUAAGGGUGGGGCUGGAGGUUAGGUAACAAUUGCAAUCAAGGCAAGCCGGUAAAAUAUAUAUUUCGCCUUUGUUACGUGAGUUUUUUUAAAUAAAACAAAAGAAUUCUACUGAUGAUGAGUUGCUAUUGUGUUAUGUAAAUAGCUCCAGUGACAUCUAGAGUGGUGUUCCCUAAAUCAAUUCUUUUUUUUCUGAGUGUGAUUUUUUUUUUUUUAAUCUCGUCUGCUGUCGAAUCACUUUGAUUUGAUUUGUUUUAGGAUUGACAUUUGGGAUUCUUGACGUAACGCAGUAGGAUAACUAGCCAGUAAUAACAUCCUGUGUCGAUUCAAUUUCCAAAACUUGUCAAUUGAAAAAUUUGCAUUCGAUUUCAAAGUGGAGGGGGACUGCUCUUGCAAAUAGACGAGAGAGGCUAUUCGGCCAACUUUUGUGUGCUCAUAAAUGGGACAUUCGAGACUGGGGAAACAAGUGAUACGCAACCGAAUGACGUGAAUGCCAAGAAUAAAUGUCAACGUCGACAGCCCGGAAUAAUCUACACGAAGAGUUUACUCAGAAAAUUUGAUCCAGUUGACUAAAUGCUAAUCAUUUUAAAAAGGUGCAGAUAUACAAUUCCAGAGUGUGGCCACUAAACGCUGAUCCUCUUACAAGCUCGGUGACCAGCGCGAUCGAAGACUGUUAAUCUUACAAACUACACCACUUCCGG
Long non-coding RNA from Daphnia pulicaria, 857 nucleotides. RefSeq lists it as uncharacterized. The transcript has 3 exons. The record is from RefSeq and is a predicted model, not a curated record. Lineage: Eukaryota; Metazoa; Arthropoda; Branchiopoda; Diplostraca; Daphniidae.